UCUGGGCUCGAGCCUGCCUGGAGCCGCCGCCGGUGCAGAUCUUGGUGGUAGUAGCAAAUACUCCAGCGAGGCCCUGGAGGACUGAUGUGGAGAAGGGUUUCGUGUGAACAGCCGUUGCACACGAGUCAGUCGAUCCUAAGCCCUAGGAGAAAUCCGACGCCUACGGCGACGGGAUUUUUGAAAAAUUAUGAAACCCGUUGAUCGGGCGAAAGGGAAUCCGGUUCCUAUUCCGGAACCCGGCAGCGGAACCGCUGUUUGUCGGGCCCUCACAAGGGGUUCGUCAGGGUAACCUAAAAGGGCCCGGAGACGCCGUCGGGAGCCCCGGAAAGAGUUUUCUUUUCUGCAUGAGCGUUCGAGUUCCCUGGAAUCCUCUCGCAGGGAGAUAGGGUUUGGAACGCGAAGAGCACCGCAGUUGCGGCGGUGCCCGGGAAUUCCCGACGGACCUUGAAAAUCCGGGAGAGGGCCACGUGGAGGUGUCGCGCCGGCUCGUACCCAUAUCCGCAGCAGGUCUCCAAGGUGAAGAGCCUCUAGUCGAUAGAAUAAUGUAGGUAAGGGAAGUCGGCAAAUCGGAUCCGUAACUUCGGG
This 585-nucleotide ribosomal RNA is filed under the name Ischnura senegalensis. RNAcentral's name for it is "partial large subunit ribosomal RNA". It matches the Rfam family "Eukaryotic large subunit ribosomal RNA", at positions 1410 to 1940 of the family's 3401-position model. Lineage: Eukaryota; Metazoa; Arthropoda; Insecta; Odonata; Coenagrionidae. The record is from RNAcentral.